Molecule: ribosomal RNA, 254 nt
Filed under: uncultured bacterium
Lineage: Bacteria
Description: partial 16S ribosomal RNA
Rfam family: Bacterial small subunit ribosomal RNA
Source: RNAcentral
UACGGGGGGGGCAAGCGUUGUUCGGAAUUACUGGGCGUAAAGGGCUCGUAGGCGGCCAACUAAGUCAGACGUGAUAUCCCUCGGCUUAACCGGGGAACUGCGUCUGAUACUGGAUGGCUUGAGUUUGGGAGAGGGAUGCGGAAUUCCAGGUGUAGCGGUGAAAUGCGUAGAUAUCUGGAGGAACACCGGUGGCGAAGGCGGCAUCCUGGACCAACACUGACGCUGAGUGAGCGAAAGCCAGGGGAGCAAACGGG